This 429-nucleotide ribosomal RNA is filed under the name Gemmatimonadota bacterium. RNAcentral's name for it is "Gemmatimonadetes bacterium partial 16S ribosomal RNA". It matches the Rfam family "Bacterial small subunit ribosomal RNA", at positions 355 to 776 of the family's 1533-position model. The record is from RNAcentral. Lineage: Bacteria; Pseudomonadati; Gemmatimonadota.
UCGGGAAUCUUCGGCAAUGGACGAAAGUCUGACCGAGCAACGCCGCGUGAGUGAAGAAGGUUUUCGGAUCGUAAAACUCUGUUGUUAGAGAAGAACAAGGACGUUAGUAACUGAACGUCCCCUGACGGUAUCUAACCAGAAAGCCACGGCUAACUACGUGCCAGCAGCCGCGGUAAUACGUAGGUGGCAAGCGUUGUCCGGAUUUAUUGGGCGUAAAGCGAGCGCAGGCGGUUUCUUAAGUCUGAUGUGAAAGCCCCCGGCUCAACCGGGGAGGGUCAUUGGAAACUGGGAGACUUGAGUGCAGAAGAGGAGAGUUGAAUUCCAUGUGUAGCGGUGAAAUGCGUAGAUAUAUGGAGGAACACCAGUGGCGAAGGCGGCUCUCUGGUCUGUAACUGACGCUGAGGCUCGAAAGCGUGGGGAGCAAACAGG